This 914-nucleotide ribosomal RNA is filed under the name uncultured marine archaeon. RNAcentral's name for it is "bacterial SSU rRNA". It matches the Rfam family "Archaeal small subunit ribosomal RNA", at positions 1 to 922 of the family's 1478-position model. The record is from RNAcentral.
UUCCGGUUGAUCCUGCCGGACCUGACUGCUAUCGGAUUGAUACUAAGCCAUGCGAGUCUUUGUAGUAAUACAAGGCAGACGGCUCAGUAACACGUAGUCAACCUACCCUAUGGACGAGAAUAAUCUCGGGAAACUGAGCAUAAUUCUUGAUAGAUCAUAAUGCCUGGAAUGGUUUAUGGUUAAAAUGAUUCGUCGCCAUAGGAUGGGACUGCGGCCUAUCAGCUUGUUGGUGAGGUAAUGGCCCACCAAGGCGAUUACAGGUACGGGCUCUGAGAGGAGAAGCCCGGAGAUGGGUACUGAGACACGGACCCAGGCCCUAUGGGGCGCAGCAGGCGAGAAAACUUUGCAAUGUGCGAAAGCACGACAAGGUUAAUCCGAGUGAUUUCUGCUAAAGAAAUCUUUUGCCAGUCGUAAAACCGCUGGUGAAUAAGGGGUGGGCAAGUUCUGGUGUCAGCCGCCGCGGUAAAACCAGCACCUCAAGUGGUCAGGAUGAUUAUUGGGCCUAAAGCAUCCGUAGCCGGCUUUGUAAGUUUUCGGUUAAAUCCAUGUGCUCAACGCAUGGGCUGCCGAAAAUACUGCAUAGCUAGGGAGUGGGAGAGGUAGACGGUACUCAGUAGGUAGGGGUAAAAUCCUUUGAUCUAUUGAUGACCACCUGUGGCGAAGGCGGUCUACCAGAACACGUUCGACGGUGAGGGAUGAAAGCUGGGGGAGCAAACCGGAUUAGAUACCCGGGUAGUCCCAGCUGUAAACGAUGCAGACUCGAUGAUGCAUUGGCAUAUAGCCAGUGCAGUGUCGCAGGGAAGCCGUUAAGUCUGCCGCCUGGGAAGUACGUACGCAAGUAUGAAACUUAAAGGAAUUGGCGGGGGAGCACCACAAGGGGUGAAGCCUGCGGUUCAAUUGGAGUCAACGCCGGG